AGUGAACGCUGGCGGUAGGCCUAACACAUGCAAGUCGAACGGGAGCACAGUAAGAGCUUGCUCUUACGGGCGGCGAGUGGCGGACGGGUGAGGUAUACAUCGGAAUCUACUUUUUCGUGGGGGAUAACGUAGGGAAACUUACGCUAAUACCGCAUACGACCUACGGGUGAAAGCAGGGGAUGUUUGGACCUUGCGCGAUGGAAUGAGCCGAUGUCGGAGUAGCUAGUUGGCGGGGUAAAGGCCCACCAAGGCGACGAUCCGUAGCUGGUCUGAGAGGAUGGUCCGCCACACUGGCACAGAGGCACGGCCGACACACCUGCGGUGGGACGCAGUGGAGAAUAUUGCGCAAUGGAGGAGAGCCUGAUCCUGCCAUACCGCGUGAGUGAUGAAGGCGUUCGGGUUGUAAAGCCCUUUUGUUGGGAAAGAAGAGCAGCAGGUUUAUACGCCGCUGUUCUGACAGUACCCAAAGAAUAAGCACCGGCUAACUUCGUG
This 492-nucleotide ribosomal RNA is filed under the name uncultured bacterium. RNAcentral's name for it is "partial 16S ribosomal RNA". It matches the Rfam family "Bacterial small subunit ribosomal RNA", at positions 29 to 507 of the family's 1533-position model. The record is from RNAcentral.